This 1047-nucleotide unclassified non-coding RNA is filed under the name Leishmania donovani. RNAcentral describes it as "gene:unknown". Lineage: Eukaryota; Euglenozoa; Kinetoplastea; Trypanosomatida; Trypanosomatidae. The record is from RNAcentral.
CCACACGCUUGAGCGCAUUCUGAAAACCUAUUCCGCUUUCGUCGUCAGGGCGCUCCUGUGGUUCUUCCUUUGCGCUGCGUUGCGGGCCCUCCCCUCCGCCUCCGCCUCCCUCUCCCCUCCGCUGUCGCUUCCUCUGUCCUUUUCGUACCCUUUCACGCACGUUUUGCACCGCCUCGCCUCUGCGCUCUGCGCGAAGUACGCAACGUACGGCAGAAAGCAAAACCUUCGCCACACGCGCUGCCACUCACACGCUGAUAGGCGGCGGUGCGGCAACGUAUGACGGCCUCCUUCUUGUACCCCAAACAAACAAACCCGCCCGCGGAGAUGUCUUUCCACACGCCUCCCCCCCUGCCCAUGCGCCACCUCCGCGUGUGGCGACUUCACACCAAUCCACGCACACGCUCUCUCAAGCUGGUGGAGAACAUCAUCGGGGGGGGGGGCUCUUUUGACGUGCCACGAGCCACACGCGCUCUCCUUCAUGUAAGGGAAGCGGCGUUUUUCGGUGUUGGACGAACGCGGCCUCGCAUGCCCACAGCGGGGGCUUGAAUUAACCGCGAACGCUCGCUGAUCUUUCUGAUGAGCAGCUGAGCGGUGGGGUCUGUGCAUACCACGCGCCAUCGCUCGACUGUUCGCAUGUGACGUGUGCUCUCAGACUGCGUGUCUUGCAUGAGCGCGUAUGGGUUCGGGUGCCGUGGCCGACUCUGCGCACCACCGCCCACCUUGUAUGCAGUGUGCUUCUUUCCCGUACUCUACGCUGAAGGCUGAUUUCUUUCUGAGAUGAGACGGAGGAGAAUGCACCCUUCCUGUCUUGAAUACAACAGGCAGACGUACCGCACAGACACUCAUCUGUGAGGGUGUGUGCCGUUCGUCCACUGAGGUAGAAUGCAUCGCGGCAUGGACUUCUCCGCACGCAAAGACACACCGAGGCAUAGAGAGAGGCAGAGGAGCACAGGAGACAUGGGGUAUACAAGGAAGAAGUGCUCCUGUAUACCCUUCCUCUGUUCCUCGUACAUGCACGCUCCCCUACAUCCUCUCUCGACAUACGCA